RNAcentral lists this ribosomal RNA (540 nucleotides) under Halomonas sp. RNAcentral's name for it is "bacterial SSU rRNA". It matches the Rfam family "Bacterial small subunit ribosomal RNA", at positions 375 to 907 of the family's 1533-position model. Lineage: Bacteria; Pseudomonadati; Pseudomonadota; Gammaproteobacteria; Oceanospirillales; Halomonadaceae. The record is from RNAcentral.
GGGGCACCCUGAUCCAGCCAUGCCGCGUGUGUGAAGAAGGCCUUCGGGUUGUAAAGCACUUUCAGCGAGGAAGAACGCCUAGCGGUUAAUACCCGCUAGGAAAGACAUCACUCGCAGAAGAAGCACCGGCUAACUCCGUGCCAGCAGCCGCGGUAAUACGGAGGGUGCAAGCGUUAAUCGGAAUUACUGGGCGUAAAGCGCGCGUAGGUGGCUUGAUAAGCCGGUUGUGAAAGCCCCGGGCUCAACCUGGGAACGGCAUCCGGAACUGUCAGGCUAGAGUGCAGGAGAGGAAGGUAGAAUUCCCGGUGUAGCGGUGAAAUGCGUAGAGAUCGGGAGGAAUACCAGUGGCGAAGGCGGCCUUCUGGACUGACACUGACACUGAGGUGCGAAAGCGUGGGUAGCAAACAGGAUUAGAUACCCUGGUAGUCCACGCCGUAAACGAUGUCGACCAGCCGUUGGGUGCCUAGCGCACUUUGUGGCGAAGUUAACGCGAUAAGUCGACCGCCUGGGGAGUACGGCCGCAAGGUUAAAACUCAAAUG